RNAcentral lists this ribosomal RNA (497 nucleotides) under uncultured bacterium. RNAcentral describes it as "partial 16S ribosomal RNA". It matches the Rfam family "Bacterial small subunit ribosomal RNA", at positions 28 to 507 of the family's 1533-position model. The record is from RNAcentral.
GAUGAACGCUGGCGGCGUGCCUAAUACAUGCAAGUCGAGCGAACAGACGAGGAGCUUGCUCCUCUGACGUUAGCGGCGGACGGGUGAGUAACACGUGGAUAACCUACCUAUAAGACUGGGAUAACUUCGGGAAACCGGAGCUAAUACCGGAUAAUAUAUUGAACCGCAUGGUUCCAUAGUGAAAGACGGUUUUGCUGGCACUUAUAGAUGGAUCCGCGCCGCAUUAGCUAGUUGGUAAGGUAACGGCUUACCAAGGCAACGAUGCGUAGCCGACCUGAGAGGGUGAUCGGCCACACUGGAACUGAGACACGGUCCAGACUCCUACGGGAGGCAGCAGUAGGGAAUCUUCCGCAAUGGGCGAAAGCUUGACGGAGCAACGCCGCGUGAGUGAUGAAGGUCUUCGGAUCGUAAAACUCUGUUAUUAGGGAAGAACAAAUGUGUAAGUAACUAUGCACGUCUUGACGGUACCUAAUCAGAAAGCCACGGCUAACUACGUG